UACGUAGGGAGCGAGCGUUGUCCGGAAUCAUUGGGCGUAAAGAGCAUGUAGGUGGAUCAAUUAGUCUGCUGUGAAAGUCAAAGGCUCAACCUUUGAAAGCCGGUGGAUACUGUUGAUCUAGAGUACGGAAGAGGCGAGUGGAAUUCCUGGUGUAGCGGUGGAAUGCGCAGAUAUCAGGAGGAACACCGAUGGCGAAGGCAGGUCUCUGGGCAUUAACUGACGCUGAGGAGCGAAAGCAUGGGGAGCGAACAGG
RNAcentral lists this ribosomal RNA (253 nucleotides) under uncultured bacterium. RNAcentral's name for it is "partial 16S ribosomal RNA". It matches the Rfam family "Bacterial small subunit ribosomal RNA", at positions 524 to 776 of the family's 1533-position model. The record is from RNAcentral.